UUUCAAAUUUAGUCCAGAAAUAAAAAUGAGUGCCAGUCAAUUCGUUAUUUUGGGAGAAUUUCAGCUUUAAAAUACAUACAUGGGGUUUCUAUCUGGCAAAUGAAGAAUGAAAAUUGAGUGGGAAACCUAGUUACCAGAGUGACCAUCCUUUACAAGGCUGAAUAAUAUUAAGGAAAUGACAACAAUACAGGAAAGGAUGGAAUUAGCUAAGAGGAGACAGAUACAACUUAGGUGACAAAAUCUUUGGAGUUGCCAUAUUAUAAUGGGUUCUUCCAGUGUGGCAAUUGACUUGACCACUAACAACAGCAGAGUUUCCAGUUGUUUCACUUUCUCCGGCCAAGAGCUAUUACUUUUUCUGAAUUCAAAAAAAAUCCCAGGUUGAUGUAUAUGGUCACAAAAGUGAACAUGAAAAAGAUCACCCAUUGAAAGAAACUGGCGAUUCUUAGAACCAGUAUGCAAUACUCACUUGAGCCCUUUGAGCUCUCUGCUUUCACGACUCACCUUUUCUGUUCUGGUGAGUAUUCUCUAAGGCUGAG
Homo sapiens (human) is the source of this 536-nucleotide long non-coding RNA. RefSeq lists it as uncharacterized. NCBI's taxonomy places the organism in Eukaryota, Metazoa, Chordata, Mammalia, Primates, Hominidae. The transcript has 4 exons. The record is from RefSeq and is a predicted model, not a curated record.